GACAGAGGAUGCAAACGUUGCUCGGAAUUACUGGGCGUAAAGCGCGCGCAGGUGGUCUGGUAAGUCGGGUGUGAAAUCCCGGGGCUCAACCUCGGAAGUGCACACGAUACUGCCGGACUCGAGUACUGGAGAGGAGAGCGGAAUUCCCGGUGUAGAGGUGAAAUUCGUAGAUAUCGGGAGGAACACCGGUGGCGAAGGCGGCGAUCUGGGUCGAUACUGACGCUGAGGUGCGAAAGCGUGGGGAGCAAACAGG
This 253-nucleotide ribosomal RNA is filed under the name uncultured bacterium. RNAcentral describes it as "partial 16S ribosomal RNA". It matches the Rfam family "Bacterial small subunit ribosomal RNA", at positions 524 to 776 of the family's 1533-position model. The record is from RNAcentral.